AGCAGCCGCGGUAAUUCCAGCUCCAAUAGCGUAUAUUAAAGUUGUUGCAGUUAAAAAGCUCGUAGUUGAAUUUCGAGAUCAAAUUGUUGGUCGUGCCUCGGUACGUACUGGCAUUAUUGAUUUCUCCUUUCUGAAGAACCAUGAUGUCAUUAAUUUGGUGUCUUGGGGAAUCAGGACCGUUACUUUGAAAAAAUUAGAGUGUUUAAAGCAGGCUCACGCUUGAAUACAUUAGCAUGGAAUAAUGAAAUAGGACGUUUGAUUCUAUUUUGUUGGUUUCUAGGAUCGACGUAAUGAUUAAUAGGGAUAGUUGGGGGCAUUAGUAUUCAAUUGUCAGAGGUGAAAUUCUUGGAUUUAUUGAAGACUAACUACUGCGAAAGCAUUUGCCAAGGAUGUUUUCAUUAAUCAAGAACGAAAGUUAGGGGAUCGAAGACGAUCAGAUACCGUCGUAGUCUUAACCAUAAACUAUGCCGACUAGGGAUCGGAUGAUGUUAAUUUUUAAUGUACUCAUUCGGCGUA
RNAcentral lists this ribosomal RNA (516 nucleotides) under uncultured Glomus. RNAcentral describes it as "SSU rRNA". It matches the Rfam family "Eukaryotic small subunit ribosomal RNA", at positions 569 to 1087 of the family's 1831-position model. Lineage: Eukaryota; Fungi; Glomeromycota; Glomeromycetes; Glomerales; Glomeraceae. The record is from RNAcentral.